UGCCAGUGAUAAACUGGAGGAAGGUGGGGAUGACGUCAAGUCAUCAUGGCCCUUACGAGUAGGGCUACACACGUGCUACAAUGGCAUAUACAAAGAGAAGCGACCUCGCGAGAGCAAGCGGACCUCAUAAAGUAUGUCGUAGUCCGGAUUGGAGUCUGCAACUCGACUCCAUGAAGUCGGAAUCGCUAGUAAUCGUGGAUCAGAAUGCCACGGUGAAUACGUUCCCGGGCCUUGUACACACCGCCCGUCACACCAUGGGAGUGGGUUGCAAAAGAAGUAGGUAGCUUAACCUUCGGGAGGGCGCUUACCACUUUGUGAUUCAUGACUGGGGUGAAGUCG
RNAcentral lists this ribosomal RNA (339 nucleotides) under Klebsiella oxytoca. RNAcentral describes it as "bacterial SSU rRNA". It matches the Rfam family "Bacterial small subunit ribosomal RNA", at positions 1150 to 1488 of the family's 1533-position model. The record is from RNAcentral. Lineage: Bacteria; Pseudomonadati; Pseudomonadota; Gammaproteobacteria; Enterobacterales; Enterobacteriaceae.